CUACGGAGGAUCCGAGCGUUAUCCGGAUUUAUUGGGUUUAAAGGGUGCGCAGGCGGGAGAUUAAGUCGGCGGUGAAAUUUUGCAGCUCAACUGUAAAAGUGCCUUCGAAACUGGGUUCCUUGAGUGUAGAUGAAGUAGGCGGAAUUUGUGGUGUAGCGGUGAAAUGCAUAGAUAUCACGAGGAACUCCGAUUGCGCAGGCAGCUUACUAAACUACUACUGACGCUCAGGCACGAAGGCGUGGGGAUCAAACAGGAUUAGAUACCCUGGUAGUCCACGCAGUGAACGAUGAUUACUAGCUGUUUGCGAUACAAUGUAAGCGGCUGAGCGAAAGCGUUAAGUAAUCCACCUGGGGAGUACGUUCGCAAGAAUGAAACUCAAAUGAAUUGACGGGG
Molecule: ribosomal RNA, 393 nt
Filed under: uncultured bacterium
Lineage: Bacteria
Description: partial 16S ribosomal RNA
Rfam family: Bacterial small subunit ribosomal RNA
Source: RNAcentral